This 406-nucleotide ribosomal RNA is filed under the name uncultured bacterium. RNAcentral describes it as "partial 16S ribosomal RNA". It matches the Rfam family "Bacterial small subunit ribosomal RNA", at positions 29 to 526 of the family's 1533-position model. The record is from RNAcentral.
AUUGAACGCUGGCGGCAGGCUUAACACAUGCAAGUCGAGCGAGCGGGGGGCGGGAGAGCAAUGUAUCGGAAACGGCCUGAUGGAGGGGGAUAACAAAUGGAAACGGUAGCUAAUACCGCACACCAUCAGAUGUGUCCAGAUGGGAUGAGCUAGUAGGUGGGGUAAUGGCUCACCUCGGCGACGAUCCCUAGCUGGUCUGAGAGGAUGACCAGCCACACUGGAACUGAGACACGGUCCAGACUCCUACGGGAGGCAGCAGUGGGGAAUAUUGCACAAUGGGCGCAAGCCUGAUGCAGCCAUGCCGCGUGUGUGAAGAAGGCCUUCGGGUUGUAAAGCACUUUCAGCGAGGAGGCGUUACUCGCAGAAGAAGCACCGGCUAACUCCGUGCCAGCCGCCGCGGUAAUAC